Molecule: ribosomal RNA, 429 nt
Filed under: Pseudomonadota bacterium
Lineage: Bacteria; Pseudomonadati; Pseudomonadota
Description: Proteobacteria bacterium partial 16S ribosomal RNA
Rfam family: Bacterial small subunit ribosomal RNA
Source: RNAcentral
UGGGGAAUAUUGGACAAUGGGCGAAAGCCUGAUCCAGCCAUGCCGCGUGUGUGAAGAAGGUCUUCGGAUUGUAAAGCACUUUAAGUUGGGAGGAAGGGCAGUAAGCGAAUACCUUGCUGUUUUGACGUUACCGACAGAAUAAGCACCGGCUAACUCUGUGCCAGCAGCCGCGGUAAUACAGAGGGUGCAAGCGUUAAUCGGAAUUACUGGGCGUAAAGCGCGCGUAGGUGGUUCGUUAAGUUGAAUGUGAAAGCCCCGGGCUCAACCUGGGAACUGCAUCCAAAAAUGGCGAGCUAGAGUAGGGAAGAGGGUGGUGGAAUUUCCUGUGUAGCGGUGAAAUGCGUAGAUAUAGGAAGGAACACCAGUGGCGAAGGCGACAACCUGGGCUCAUACUGACACUGAGGUGCGAAAGCGUGGGGAGCAAACAGG